Non-coding RNA from Pteropus alecto (black flying fox), 116 nucleotides. The record is from Rfam. Lineage: Eukaryota; Metazoa; Chordata; Mammalia; Chiroptera; Pteropodidae.
GUCUACGGGCUUGCCACCUUGAACGAGCUCGAUGUCUGAUCUCAGAAGCUAAGCAGGGUCGGGCCUGGUUAGUACUUGGAUGGGAGACCACCUAGGAAGACCAGGUGCUGUAGGCA